GGUACCGGUACAGUGUCAAUGUGGAGGCUAUAUACAGGGGGUACCGGUACAGAGUCAAUGUGGAGGCUAUAUACAGGGGGUACCGGUACAGAGUCAAUGUGGAGGCUAUAUACAGGGGGUACCGGUACAGAGUCAAUGUGGAGGCUAUAUACAGGGUAUUACGGUACAGAGUCAAUGUGGAGGCUAUAUACAGGGGGUACCGGUACAGAGUCAAUGUGGAGACUAUAUACAGGGUAUUACGGUACAGAGUCAAUGUGGAGGCUAUAUACAGGGGGUACCGGUACAGAGUCAAUGUGGAGGCUAUAUACAGGGGGUACCGGUACAGAGUCAAUGUGGAGGCUAUAUACAGGGGGUACCGGUACAGAGUCAAUGUGGAGGCUAUAUACAGGGUAUUACGGUACAGAGUCAAUGUGGAGGCUAUAUACAGGGGGUACCGGUACAGAGUCAAUGUGGAGGCUAUAUACAGGGGGUACCGGUACAGAGUCAAUGUGGAGGCUAUAUACAGGGGGUACCGGUACAGAGUCAAUGUGGAGGCUAUAUACAGGAGGGUACCGGUACAGAGUCAAUGUGGAGGCUAUAUACAGGGGGUACCGGUACAGAGUCAAUGUGGAGGCUAUAUACAGGGGGUACCGGUACAGAGUCAAUGUGGAGGCUAUAUACAGGGGGGUACCGGUACAGAGUCAAUGUGGAGGCUAUAUACAGGGGGUACCGGUACAGAGUCAAUGUGGAGGCUAUAUACAGG
RNAcentral lists this long non-coding RNA (742 nucleotides) under Salmo salar (Atlantic salmon). RNAcentral's name for it is "lncRNA (ENSSSAG00000096993.1)". The record is from RNAcentral. Lineage: Eukaryota; Metazoa; Chordata; Actinopteri; Salmoniformes; Salmonidae.